UGGGGGAUAUUGCGCAAUGGGGGAAACCCUGACGCAGCAACGCCGCGUGAAGGAAGAAGGUCUUCGGAUUGUAAACUUUUGUCUUUAGGGACGAUAAUGACGGUACCUAAGGAGGAAGCCACGGCUAACUACGUGCCAGCAGCCGCGGUAAUACGUAGGUGGCAAGCGUUGUCCGGAUUUACUGGGUGUAAAGGGUGCGUAGGCGGGACUGCAAGUCAGGUGUGAAAAUUAUGGGCUCAACCCAUAACCUGCACUUGAAACUGUAGUUCUUGAGUGAUGGAGAGGUAAGUGGAAUUCCCAGUGUAGCGGUGAAAUGCGUAGAUAUUGGGAGGAACACCAGUGGCGAAGGCGACUUACUGGACAUUAACUGACGCUGAGGCACGAAAGCAUGGGGAGCAAACA
RNAcentral lists this ribosomal RNA (402 nucleotides) under uncultured Eubacteriales bacterium. RNAcentral's name for it is "uncultured Clostridiales bacterium partial 16S ribosomal RNA". It matches the Rfam family "Bacterial small subunit ribosomal RNA", at positions 355 to 774 of the family's 1533-position model. The record is from RNAcentral. Lineage: Bacteria; Bacillati; Bacillota; Clostridia; Eubacteriales.